GACGAACGCUGGCGGCGUGCCUAAUACAUGCAAGUAGAACGCUGAAGGAGGAGCUUGCUUCUCUGGAUGAGUUGCGAACGGGUGAGUAACGCGUAGGUAACCUGCCUGGUAGCGGGGGAUAACUAUUGGAAACGAUAGCUAAUACCGCAUAAUAGUAGAUGUUGCAUGACAUUUGCUUAAAAGGUGCAAUUGCAUCACUACCAGAUGGACCCGCGUUGUAUUAGCUAGUUGGUGGGGUAACGGCUCACCAAGGUGACGAUACAUAGCCGACCUGAGAGGGGGAUCGGCCACACUGGGACUGAGACACGGCCCAGACUCCUACGGGAGGCAGCAGUAGGGAAUCUUCGGCAAUGGACGGAAGUCUGACCGAGCAACGCCGCGUGAGUGAAGAAGGUUUUCGGAUCGUAAAGCUCUGUUGUAAGAGAAGAACGAGUGUGAGAGUGGAAAGUUCACACUGUGACGGUAUCUUACCAGAAAGGGACGGCUAACUACGUG
Molecule: ribosomal RNA, 495 nt
Filed under: uncultured bacterium
Lineage: Bacteria
Description: partial 16S ribosomal RNA
Rfam family: Bacterial small subunit ribosomal RNA
Source: RNAcentral